Long non-coding RNA from Amphiprion ocellaris (clown anemonefish), 728 nucleotides. The record is from Ensembl. Lineage: Eukaryota; Metazoa; Chordata; Actinopteri; Pomacentridae.
UGUAAAGGAGGCCGUGAAAAACACUCCAGAAAGGUUUUCUUUGAAAAAAAAAUCAUCAUGAAUUUUGGCGCAAAAAAACGCCAUAGUAUAGUAUGUCGAAAAAAAAAUGCGAUUUUUCAACAUGUUGUAAAAACGUGCCAUAUGAUGAAAUAAUGUAAAGGAGGCCGUGAAAAACACUCCAGAAAGGUUUUCUUUGAAAAAAAAAUCAUCAUGAAUUUUGGCGCAAAAAAAACGCCAUAGUAUAGUAUGUCGAAAAAAAAAUGCGAUUUUUCAAACAUGUUGUAAAAACGUGCCAUAUGAUGAAAUAAUGUAAAGGAGGCCGUGAAAAACACUCCAGAAAGGUUUUCUUUGAAAAAAAAAUCAUCAUGAAUUUUGGCGCAAAAAAACGCCAUAGUAUAGUAUGUCGAAAAAAAAAUGCGAUUUUUCAACAUGUUGUAAAAACGUGCCAUAUGAUGAAAUAAUGUAAAGGAGGCCGUGAAAAACACUCCAGAAAGGUUUUCUUUGAAAAAAAAAUCAUCAUGAAUUUUGGCGCAAAAAAACGCCAUAGUAUAGUAUGUCGAAAAAAAAAUGCGAUUUUUCAACAUGUUGUAAAAACGUGCCAUAUGAUGAAAUAAUGUAAAGGAGGCCGUGAAAAACACUCCAGAAAGGUUUUCUUUGAAAAAAAAAAUCAUCAUGAAUUUUGGCGCAAAAAAACGCCAUAGUAUAGUAUGUCGAAAAAAAAAUGCGAU